UGAGUAACACGUAUGCAAUCCACCUGUAACAGGGGGAUAACCCGGAGAAAUCCGGACUAAUACCCCAUAAUAUGGGCGCUCCGCAUGGAGAGCCCAUUAAAGAGAGCAAUCUUGGUUACAGACGAGCAUGCGCUCCAUUAGCCAGUUGGCGGGGUAACGGCCCACCAAGGCGACGAUGGAUAGGGGUUCUGAGAGGAAGGUCCCCCACAUUGGAACUGAGACACGGUCCAA
Molecule: ribosomal RNA, 231 nt
Filed under: uncultured bacterium
Lineage: Bacteria
Description: partial 16S ribosomal RNA
Rfam family: Bacterial small subunit ribosomal RNA
Source: RNAcentral